UAGCUAACUGUGCCAGCCUGCAGGAU
RNAcentral lists this non-coding RNA (26 nucleotides) under Rattus norvegicus (Norway rat). Lineage: Eukaryota; Metazoa; Chordata; Mammalia; Rodentia; Muridae. The record is from RNAcentral.